AAUGAACGCUGGCGGCAUGCCUAACACAUGCAAGUCGAACGAGACCACCGGGUCUAGUGGCUCAUGGGUGCGUCACGCGUGGGACCCUGCCCUUAGGUUCCGAAUACUACUCCGUCAGGGGUGCUAAUACCGGAUAAUUUCCUCGGAUCAAAGAUUCAUCGCACUUGGAUGGGCGCGCGUUGGUUUAGCUUGUUGGUAGGGUAAAAGCCUACCACGGCGUCGAUCCAUAGCUGGUCUGAGAGGAAGAUCAGCCACACUGGGGCUGAGAUGCGGCCCAGACUCCUACGGGAGGCGGGAGAGGGGGAUACUGGACUAUGGGGGGAGGCCUGAACCAGCAAGGCCGGGAGAGUGAUGAAGUCCUGAGAGAUGUAAAGCUCUUUUACCCGGGAUGAUAAUGACGGUACCGGAAGAAUAAGCACCGGCUAACUCCGUG
This 433-nucleotide ribosomal RNA is filed under the name uncultured bacterium. RNAcentral's name for it is "partial 16S ribosomal RNA". It matches the Rfam family "Bacterial small subunit ribosomal RNA", at positions 29 to 507 of the family's 1533-position model. The record is from RNAcentral.